AUGCCCGCCGUCAAACCACCAGAGUGGGAGACCAUGUCUGCCAAGGAGCAGUUGUUGUGGUAUCUCGAGAGGUUAUGCGCCCAGGCAGAUGAGAUGAGCUCAGCGUUGGGUACUGCAAGCACGGGUGCCCCUCUAGUGGUUACCACGCUUGUUGAUCCGGCGGCCUCAACCACGACGCUCGCCUCGUCGGCGCCCGUUGCCGACGUCUCCGGCUCCACCACCAAGGCCCAGGAAGUGCUCGCGGUCACCCACUACGUGCCCCCUGCCUGUGUCACGAUGGGGCACAUCACCUGUUCGACGGAUGGCUCGAACCAAGCUGUCGCCACCAACAGCGCCAACAAGGUCACCACCGUCUGCCCCGAGCCCUUCAUCGACCUCAGCGACAAGUUCGGCGCCCUCAACAUUCAUGUGACGGCCAGCACCAACCCGCCGCUCCACGUCCAGGUUUCAUCACCAAAGUCUUCACCCGACAGCACCCACGGCAUCGCUGUUGCAGGACCGGAGGAGUACGCACUCGUGGCGGCUACUCCAGACGUCGUCCUCAAGCUUGCCGUACGCCCAAACGUCAUACUCAUCAUUCCCAGCGACCUCUCUGCACCGAUGCUGACCACCUGUUCGACGAAAUACUCUCGUCACGACACCAACCUACUGAGGUAUGUGCUCCACCCAGCUGUGGCACCCUCAUGGAUGGUGUUACGACCGAAGCCAUGGCCAUCCUUUUGGAGAGAUCAUGCAGAUGGAAACGCGAAACGGCCCAUGUCGUGGCCGUCAUUAGGUUGCUCUCAUGAACUGUAUUGGAAGCAUGUUGGGCUGCUGUCAGAAGAUACUUUUGCGAUGAAGCAUUUUUAUGGUGUUCUAAAUUCUAUGAGAGAAUCCUGGAAGUAUUUGCAAAGUAUGCAGCUGAAACUACCUUGGCCCUCGUUUUCAAGCAAUGGCCGAGCAGUACCAGUGUGGCCAGAGAUCCCCAAUGAGUUGGCUGGCACUUUUGGUCUUCACAAAAUUUGGAGUGCUAGUAAUCUUGUCCGUACAACCCAAAUACAAUGGAAAAUUUCUGAGCAUCGAGCACGGGAUCUUGCUGACCGAAACGAGGUACGGCCCAUCCCAUGGCCAUCAUUCCCAAUUGGAAGGUCCUUGGAGCUGUUGUUUUUGUUAGCCCAAGUGCAUGACUGUGGUUUGAUUGGUAUUGCAUUUCCUCUGGAAUUAUGUCAUAUUAGUGAUCUUGAGUGCAACCUCCCUCGACACUACAUAAGGAUACCCCCUGUUCAGAUUUUCUGCUUGUCGUCUUUGCAACAGAACACUGAUGAUUCAUGUUUCGCUAAGCAACUAUUACAUGAAGUCCUCUUCUAA
This 1347-nucleotide ribosomal RNA is filed under the name Triticum aestivum (bread wheat). RNAcentral's name for it is "partial small subunit ribosomal RNA". The record is from RNAcentral. Lineage: Eukaryota; Viridiplantae; Streptophyta; Magnoliopsida; Poales; Poaceae.